CCGAGCUUGACUGCGAGAAGUUUGGACUCAAGAUAUGCGAAUUGUAAAGAGUACAACAAGAUAUCCCUGUGUCCACUGUCCAGCAUCUGAUUGUGUACCAGAACACAACACAGUGUAGUUGGACCUGCAGACCAUUCCGGCUACAGAGGUCUGCUGCGCCUCAAAAGGACAGACGCUCCUUUGCUUUUCUGCAGCGGCUUGUCAACAUGACUCUCUGUCCAGCGGAGCAGAAAAAGGGGUCCAGUCCAUGUCCCGUCUGACUGGCAUGUCGCUCACAUUGUCCGGAUGAAGGGAGCGAGAAGGGACUUAUACUUGUAAAUACCAAGCAGACAUCCAUGUGGUACAUGGAGCGAUAUUUCAGAAGGCAGAGUAGAAGGCUGCUGCGACCAUCCGCAGGUCAGGCCACUUAUGAUCAUACUGCCAGCGUCUUGAGGGCUCACCUGCUUUACAAAAUGUUGAUAUAAUGAAACCACAGCUGGGUACAUUAUCAAAACUACUAAAAUGGUGAGAGCCAUAACAUACAUUUUAUUUUGUAUCCUGAUUUUAAUAGUUUUAUUAUGCGUCUGUGCCAACAACAGCCAGGUCCAGAUUCAUUACAUUUAUCCCAUUCAUGCUGUUCUUUUUAAAGGAAAUAUUUCAGUAAAACCUGAGGGUAUUUCUUCAAAUUUGGUGCAAAUGUUCACAUAGACUCAAGGAUGGACUGAUUAAAUUUUGGUGUUCAAAGGUCAAGGUCACUGUGUCCACUCGAAACGUGUUUGGCCAUAAAUCACACACUAACUAGUGGAGGCAUACAACCAUGAGGUGGUAAUUCUAGUUCAACUUUUCACAACCCUGUUGUUGCUGAAUCUUACUUUGGGCUCUGACUGAGAUCGAGUGAUUACAUAUAAAAUCAAUAGAAAAGUGUAAUUGGAUACAAAUUGGCCAAGGAUAGCGUGGACUAAAGCAAAUAUGCAUUUGUGCAAGUUCAAAAUGUUUCAACUUGAGCAACAAAUUUGCAUGCAUCCAUAGUCUUUAUGGAUCUGCUACCUAACUGUAGAGUGGAAAGAGGCUAGAGGAAAAUAAUAGAAAGAACUGGAGUUUCUGGAGCCGAAAACAAACACUAAGUCACGCUUCCAUAAACACGGUCAGUAUGUCUUUACUAGCUAGCUUAAACUUAAUGUCUGUGCACUCAGUACAUCAGAUUCUCAAACUAUAACUAUUCAGUGGUUUGUUUGUAUACAUUUUUUUUUUUUUUUUUUUUUUUUUACCAAAAUGUGAUUAAAUACAUGUUUGUUGGUAGCAUGGCAGACUAGCAUUUGUUGUAAAGAGCUAACCAUUCUAGCAACAAAAGAAGCUGUGUAUUUCGCCAACUUUAGUGAGAAUGUCAGAUUUUGAAUAUCAGUGAAUGUAGUGAGUACACAAAGGCUCAGUGAUGAUACUGCAGUAGUUGGGUGUGAUGUCUCUGUGACAUUUUGGUCAUUUUUUUCACUCUAAAGUUGGUUCAACAUUAGAAUUGGAACUGCUGUGAAUCCAAGCAGAAAACAGCUGGUACCCUCUGCAAAUGAGCAAGAUACACACUUUUCAGAGCUGUGUACCUUUCAGGCCCUCUGGCAGUGAGUGCUCUUACUCAAAGGAUGGAUUUUCUGUGGAGUUUUACUCCAAGUUCCUGGUGCAAAGACAAAACAACUUUAAAAUUUUAAGUUUUGAAUUCUAUUAUUGUGACUACACAAUAUGUACAGUCAUGGCAAUAUCUGCCCAGUGUUUUCAGAUUUUGCAGAAGAAAUGUCCAUUUGAACAGAUGUUUUGAGGCACCACAUGCUCCUCUGCAGCAUGUAGCAGGUGGCUGGGAACAGGAGGAGUGGAGUUAGGCGUCCACACGGCGGUGGCCUGUCUUAGUUUGAUAUAAGCUAACAAAUCACAUCCCUGAGAUGUCCAUUUAUUGUAAUGCCCAUGCUUAUAAAUGUGGUGGGUCCUAAUUUGCUUUUUUCCCCCCAGUGAUUUGACAAAUGUUGCAAUUAAGUGUAAGAAAUUCUCCACCUGUUCCAGUAAAACCAUGUGGAUGUGAAAUGUUGUGUACAGGAAUAAUUAAAAACACAGAAAAAUAGCUGCAAUAUACAAUAAUAACUUUUGGAAUGUAAAAAUAUGCAUACUACCUGUAGUAUGAGUUUGAUUUCUAAGUUCUCUGUCUUAGGUUCAAACCACUGUGUCCCUGCCAAAGUGUCCUUGAUCAAGACAGUGAAUCCCACCAGAUGACAUUUUAUGGAUAGCACUUUAAAUUCCGUUGUACUGGCUUUACCUUGUGCAAUGACAAUAAAAGGAUUCUAUCUAUUCUAUCUAUGGCUUUGUAGUUGACCCAGACUUUUGACCUCCCUCUCUAGAGUUUCCCUAUCUAAACUUGAGCUACAAG
Lates calcarifer (barramundi perch) is the source of this 2386-nucleotide long non-coding RNA. RefSeq lists it as uncharacterized. NCBI's taxonomy places the organism in Eukaryota, Metazoa, Chordata, Actinopteri, Centropomidae. The record is from RefSeq and is a predicted model, not a curated record. The transcript has 3 exons.